This 497-nucleotide ribosomal RNA is filed under the name uncultured bacterium. Its description in RNAcentral is "partial 16S ribosomal RNA". It matches the Rfam family "Bacterial small subunit ribosomal RNA", at positions 28 to 507 of the family's 1533-position model. The record is from RNAcentral.
GAUGAACGCUGGCGGCGUGCCUAAUACAUGCAAGUCGAGCGAACGGACGAGAAGCUUGCUUCUCUGAUGUUAGCGGCGGACGGGUGAGUAACACGUGGAUAACCUACCUAUAAGACUGGGAUAACUUCGGGAAACCGGAGCUAAUACCGGAUAAUAUUUUGAACCGCAUGGUUCAAAAGUGAAAGACGGUCUUGCUGUCACUUAUAGAUGGAUCCGCGCUGCAUUAGCUAGUUGGUAAGGUAACGGCUUACCAAGGCAACGAUGCAUAGCCGACCUGAGAGAGUGAUCGGCCACACUGGAACUGGGACACGGGCCAGACUCCUACGGGAGGCAGCAGUAGGGAAUCUUCCGCAAUGGGCGAAAGCCUGACGGAGCAACGCCGCGUGAGUGAUGAAGGUCUUCGGAUCGUAAAACUCUGUUAUUAGGGAAGAACAUAUGUGUAAGUAACUGUGCACAUCUUGACGGUACCUAAUCAGAAAGCCACGGCUAACUACGUG